RNAcentral lists this transfer RNA (71 nucleotides) under Marmota monax (woodchuck). It matches the Rfam family "tRNA". From Rfam's summary of the family: Transfer RNA (tRNA) molecules are approximately 80 nucleotides in length. Their secondary structure includes four short double-helical elements and three loops (D, anti-codon, and T loops). Lineage: Eukaryota; Metazoa; Chordata; Mammalia; Rodentia; Sciuridae. The record is from Rfam by way of RNAcentral.
GGGGUUGUAGCUCAGUGGUAGAGUGCUUACCUUUUAUGUGUGUGGCACCAGGUUCAGUCCUUGGCACCUUA